This 465-nucleotide ribosomal RNA is filed under the name uncultured bacterium. RNAcentral describes it as "partial 16S ribosomal RNA". It matches the Rfam family "Bacterial small subunit ribosomal RNA", at positions 28 to 507 of the family's 1533-position model. The record is from RNAcentral.
GACGAACGCUGGCGGCGUGCUUAACACAUGCAAGUCGUACGGAAAGGCCCCUUUGGGGGUACUCGAGUGGCGAACGGGUGAGUAACACGUGAGUAACCUGCCCUUGACUUCGGGAUAACUUCAGGAAACUGGGGCUAAUACCGGAUAGGAAUCCUUGCUGCAUGGUGGGGGUUGGAAAGCUUCGGCGGUUUUGGAUGGACUCGCGGCUUAUCAGCUUGUUGGUGGGGUAGUGGCUUACCAAGGCUUUGACGGGUAGCCGGCCUGAGAGGGCGACCGGCCACAUUGGGACUGAGAUACGGCCCAGACUCCUACGGGAGGCAGCAGUGGGGAAUAUUGCACAAUGGGCGGAAGCCUGAUGCAGCAACGCCGCGUGCGGGAUGACGGCCUUCGGGUUGUAAACCGCUUUCAGCAGGGGCGAAGCUUGUGGUGACGGUACCUGCAGAAGAAGCACCGGCUAACUACGUG